This 379-nucleotide ribosomal RNA is filed under the name uncultured bacterium. RNAcentral's name for it is "bacterial SSU rRNA". It matches the Rfam family "Bacterial small subunit ribosomal RNA", at positions 28 to 417 of the family's 1533-position model. The record is from RNAcentral.
GACGAACGCUGGCGGCGUGCCUAACACAUGCAAGUCGAGCGAGGUAUUUAUACCUAGCGGCGGACGGGUGAGUAACACGUGGGUAACCUGCCUCAUAGAGGGGAAUAGCCUUCCGAAAGGGAGAUUAAUACCGCAUAAUAUAUACUGGUAGCAUUAACGGUAUAUCAAAGGAGAAAUCCGCUAUGAGAUGGGCCCGCGGCGCAUUAGCUAGUUGGAGAGGUAACGGCUCACCAAGGCGACGAUGCGUAGCCGACCUGAGAGGUGAUCGGCCACAUUGGAACUGAGACACGGUCCAGACUCCUACGGAGGCAGCAGUGGGGAAUAUUGCACAAUGGGGGAAACCCGUAGAUGCAGCAACGCGCGUGAAUGAUGACGGCCU